CUAACCCUGGAACUGCAUUUGAAACUGGCAGAAUUAGAGUCUUGUAGAGGGGGGUAGAAUUCCAGGUGUAGGCGGUGAAAUGCGUAGAGAUCUGAAGGAAAUACCGGUGGCGAAGGCGGCCCCCUGGACAAAAGACUGACGCUCAGGUGCGAAAAGCGUGGGGAGCAAACAGGAUUUAGAUACCCUGGUAGUCCACGCCGUAAACGAUGUCGACUUGGAGGUUGUGCCCUUGAGGGCGUGGCUUCCGGAGCUAACGCGUUAAGUCGACCGCCUGGGGAGUACGGCCGCAAGGUUAAAACUCAAAUGAAUUGACGGGGGCCCGCACAAGCGGUGGAGCAUGUGGUUUAAUUCGAUGCAACGCGAAGAACCUUACCUGGCCUUGACAUCCACGGAAUUCGGCAGAGAUGCCUUAGUGCCUUCGGGAACCGUGAGACAGGUGCUGCAUGGCUGUCGUCAGCUCGUGUUGUGAAAUGUUGGGUUAAGUCCCGCAACGAGCGCAACCCUUAUCCUUUGUUGCCAGCGCGUGAUGGCGGGAACUCAAAGGAGACUGCCGGUGACAAACCGGAGGAAGGUGGGGAUGACGUCAAGUCAUCAUGGCCCUUACGGCCAGGGCUACACACGUGCUACAAUGGUGCAUACAAAGAGAAGCGACCUCGCGAGAGCAAGCGGACCUCAUAAAGUGCGUCGUAGUCCGGAUCGGAGUCUGCAACUCGACUCCGUGAAGUCGGAAUCGCUAGUAAUCGUAGAUCAGAACGCUACGGUGAAUACGUUCCCGGGCCUUGUACACACCGCCCGUCACACCAUGGGAGUGGGUUGCAAAAGAAGUAGGUAGCUUAACCUCCGGGAGGGCGCUUACCACUUUGUGAUUCAUGACUGGGGUGAAGUAGUAACAAGGUAACC
Molecule: ribosomal RNA, 900 nt
Filed under: uncultured Erwinia sp.
Lineage: Bacteria; Pseudomonadati; Pseudomonadota; Gammaproteobacteria; Enterobacterales; Erwiniaceae
Description: bacterial SSU rRNA
Rfam family: Bacterial small subunit ribosomal RNA
Source: RNAcentral